Molecule: ribosomal RNA, 492 nt
Filed under: uncultured bacterium
Lineage: Bacteria
Description: partial 16S ribosomal RNA
Rfam family: Bacterial small subunit ribosomal RNA
Source: RNAcentral
AGUGAACGCUGGCGGUAGGCCUAACACAUGCAAGUCGAACGGCAGCACAGUAAGAGCUUGCUCUUACCGGUGGCGAGUGGCGGACGGGUGAGGAAUACAUCGGAAUCUACUUUUUCGUGGGGGAUAACGUAGGGAAACUUACGCUAAUACCGCAUACGACCUACGGGUGAAAGCAGGGGAUCUUCGGACCUUGCGCGAUUGAAUGAGCCGAUGUCGGAUUAGCUAGUUGGCGGGGUAAAGGCCCACCAAGGCGACGAUCCGUAGCUGGUCUGAGAGGAUGAUCAGCCACACUGGAACUGAGACACGGUCCAGACUCCUACGGGAGGCAGCAGUGGGGAAUAUUGGACAAUGGGCGCAAGCCUGAUCCAGCCAUACCGCGUGGGUGAAGAAGGCCUUCGGGUUGUAAAGCCCUUUUGUUGGGAAAGAAAAGCAGCAGGUUAAUACCCCGCUGUCCUGACGGUACCCAAAGAAUAAGCACCGGCUAACUUCGUG